RNAcentral lists this ribosomal RNA (465 nucleotides) under uncultured bacterium. RNAcentral's name for it is "bacterial SSU rRNA". It matches the Rfam family "Bacterial small subunit ribosomal RNA", at positions 338 to 795 of the family's 1533-position model. The record is from RNAcentral.
CCUACGGGGGGCUGCAGUCGGGAAUAUUGGUCAAUGGGGGAAACCCUGAACCAGCAAUGCCGCGUGAGCGAAGAAGGCCUUCGGGUUGUAAAGCUCUGUUGUAAGGGACGAAAGAAUAAGGGAGUAACUGCCCUUAAAGUGACGGUACCUUACCAGCAAGCCCCGGCUAACUACGUGCCAGCAGCCGCGGUAAGACGUAGGGGGCGAGCGUUGUCCGGAAUUACUGGGCGUAAAGAGCACGUAGGCGGGUGGUUAAGUCAGGUGUGAAAGACCGCAGCCUAACUGCGGGGUUGCACUUGAAACUGAAUAUCUUGAGGGCAGGAGAGGUCAGUGGAAUUCCUGGUGUAGCGGUGAAAUGCGUAGAAAUCAGGAGGAACACCAGUGGCGAAGGCGACUGACUGGACUGACCCUGACGCUGAGGUGCGAAAGCGUGGGUAGCAAACAGGAUUAGAUACCCGAGUAGUC